GACGUAGGGCGCGAGCGUUGUCCGGAUUUAUUGGGCGUAAAGAGCUCGUAGGCGGCUUGUCGCGUCGACUGUGAAAACCCGCGGCUCAACUGCGGGCCUGCAGCCGAUACGGGCAGGCUAGAGUUCGGUAGGGGAGACUGGAAUUCCUGGUGUAGCGGUGAAAUGCGCAGAUAUCAGGAAGAACACCCGUGGCGAAGGCGGCUCUCUGGGACGUGACUGACGCUGAGACGCGAAAGCGUGGGGAGCGAACAGG
RNAcentral lists this ribosomal RNA (253 nucleotides) under uncultured bacterium. RNAcentral's name for it is "partial 16S ribosomal RNA". It matches the Rfam family "Bacterial small subunit ribosomal RNA", at positions 524 to 776 of the family's 1533-position model. The record is from RNAcentral.